AUCUACACCCCAUGGCCAUUCAAAGUUGUACAAAUCAUGACGCUGCACCCCACGGUUUACGUUCUAGGGGGCGCCAAAGAUAACCCACAAAUCCACAUUCUUAAAAAUCUUAUAACUUUUUAUUUUUGUCCUCAUUGGCCUCCAAGUUUUCUAGGAUGAUGCAAUGUCCAGCCAUCAACACAUUUGUGAAGGAAUUUUUACUCCCCAAAACAGCGCCCCCCCCAUGGCAGGACAAACAAGGCCAUUUUUUCUUGUCCCCUAAGGUGAAAAUACACAUUGUUCAGUGUCACGCCUAUACGCUUUGUCAUAUUGACACAAAAUUUGACACACACGUGUAUCUCAAUAAGAUCUACGAAAAAGUUUAUGGGCACAUAUCUGUAAAAUGUACGGUUAAAGGGCUAUCUUGCAUUUUUUGCCGAUUCGCACACAUUGGAAUGUGGCUAACUCCUCCUAAGGCUUUCGUUCUACUGACACCAAAUUUGCUCAGGCCAAUCUACACCCCGUGGCCAUUCAAAGUUGUACAAAUCAUGACGCUGCACCCCACGGUUUAGGUUCUAGGGGGCGCCAAAGAUGACCCAAAUAUCCACAUUUUUAAAAGUCUUAUAACUUUUUAUUUUUGUCCUCACUGGCCUCCAAGUUUUCUAGGAUGAUGCAAUGUGCAGCCAUCAACACAUCUGUGAAGGAAUUUUUUCUCCCCAAAAGAGCGCCCCCCCCCCCCCCCCCCAUGGCAGGAGAAAAAGUCAAGUUUUUCCAGCCCAUCGCUUAAUGGCUCAAACGCAUUGCUCUCCCGCUAAAACCAAAAGGAGGAGCAACUUGCCAUUUGGAUAUGUCCUAGCUGUGUUUGUGCCCUCACUCAUGGUCCAGAGUUUUUUCAAAUAGGACAUGUAGUUUGUCUGCAGCGAGUUUUGGUAGAAACUGUGCCUCCCAUUCAUUAUAAUGGGAAAUGACCAAAGACAGGUGCGCACACCAUCUUUGGACCUUGACUUUGACGUCACAGUUUGAGAUACAAAUGUAAUCUGACCUCUGACCUUUGGUGGACACCCUAACCUUUCAACCCGCGAAAACGGCGUUUCAAUAGCUCUUACGGCUUUCCUACAAAUACACUUUGUUCAGCUACUCCUACUGUCCUUUAAGCUCUGCUUCUCAGAUCAUCAAAGAGUGUGCACGUGUGUAAUGAGCGCAUAUUGAAUGUUAAUUAUGUUAAAUAUGUUAAUUAUUAGAAGAAAAAACAACAACAGUCCUUUUGGACAAAAUUUCUUUUUAUUACAGAAUUAGAAUAAUGGAAGCAUAGUCCAAGGAAACCAUUCAAGUGAUGUCAUACCUCAUAAUUUAUUGAGAUGUUGGCUAGUCUGGGCAUUUCUUCAUUCAUCAGGUUUCCUGCAUGCAUACUAACAGAGCACAUCAGUAGCAGUGAGUGAUAAGUAUGAGUGUGUCAUUGUGUAAGAAAGAAAGUGGUUUACUUACACAUCCAUAGAAAAUAGGUGGUUGAGCACAGCACGCAAACAAAGCUUUGCCACAACGGUUGAACUUCCCAAGUAGCUGAUACCAAGGUCACACAAUCAUGGUGAGCAAAGGUCAAACCAGGCCAGGCACUCACGAGGCUGGCUGUGGCAAGUGUAAGUGAAAGCAACACGCAAUGGCAGGAAGAACAGCAAACACCGAUGAAGGAAAAGGGUCUUUGCAGUGAUGGGCGUCACCAGAGAGGGCGAUGGCCAGAGGGCACGAAUGAGACGGGGAGGCGGUCGCGCUGGGGGCGGCGCGACGCGGCUCGGGCCCGCCAGUGCCCCAACGGGGCCCUAGUUGUUUCUUUCUUUCUUCUUUUUCCUCCCCUUUGAACUGGAAAAUGGCCCACUUCCCACUGGCGAAAACUCAUGAAAUUUGGCAGGAUGACCGGGCCUGGUGAAAAAUUUGAUAUUCCGAAGUCGCCCAAACAAGAAAAUGCAAAAUGGCUCCAUAGCGCCCCCUAAGGUGAAAAUUCACACUAUUGACUGUCACGCCUUCACGCUUUGUCAAAAUGACACAAAAAUUGACACACAUAUGUAUCUCAAUAAGAUCUACAAAAAAGUCAGUGCGGGCGUAUCUGUCAAAUGUACGGUUAAAGGGCUAUUUCGCAUUUUUUGCCGAUCCGCACACAUUGGAAUUUCGCUAACUCCUCCGAAGGCUUUCGUUCCACCGGCACCAAAUUUGCUCAGGCCAAUCUACACCCCAUGGCCAUUAAAAGUUGUACAAAUCAUGAUGCUGCACCCCACGGUUUACGUUCUAGGGGGCGCCAAAAAUAACCCAAAAAUCCACAUUCUUAAAAGUCUUAUAACUUUUUAUUUUUGUCCUCACUGGCCUCCAAGUUUUCUAGGAUGAUGCAAUGUCCAGCCAUCAACACAUUUGUGAAGGAAUUUUUACUCGCCAAAAGAGCGCCCCCCCAUGGCAGGAGAAAAAAGUCCAUUUUUUCUAGUCCCCUAAGGCGAAAAUACACAUUGUUGAAUGUCACGCCUGUACGCUUCGUCAUAUUGACACAAAAUUUGACAAUCACGUGUAUCUCAAUAAGAUCUACGAAAAAGUCAGUGCGCGUAUCAGUAAAAUGUACGGUUAAAGGGCUAUUUCGCAUUUUUUGCCGUUUCGCACACAUUGGAAUGUGGCUAACUCCUCCUAAGGCUUUCGUCCCACUGACACCAAAUUUGCUCAGGCCAAUCUACACUCCAUGGCCAUUCAAAGUUGUAAAAAUCAUGACGCUGCACCCCACGGUCUAUGUUCUAGGGGGCGCCAAAGAGGACCCAAAUAUCCACAUUUUUAAAAGUCUUAUAACUUUUUAUUUUUGUCCUCACUGGCCUCCAAGUUUUCUAGGAUGAUGCAAUGUCCAGCCGACAACACAUUUGUGAAGGAAUUUUUUCUCCCCAAAAGAGCGCCCCCCCAUGGCAGGAGAAAAAAGUCCAUUUUUUCUUGUCCCCUAAGGUGAAAAUACACAUUGUUGAGUGUCAUGCCUGUACGCUUUGUCAAAAUGACACAAAAUUCAACACACACGUGUAUCUCAAUAAGAUCUACGAAAAAGUAAAUGCAGGCGUAUCUGUCAAAUGUACGGUUAAAGGGCUAUUUCGCAUUUUUUGCCGAUUCGCACACAUUGGAAUGUAGCUAACUCCUCCGAAGGCUUUCGCUCCACCGGCACCAAAUUUGCUCAGGCCAAUCUACACCCCAUGGCCAUUCAAAGUUGUAAAAAUCAUGACGCUGCACCCCACGGUUUAAGUUCUAGGGGGCGCCAAAGAUGACCCAAAUAUCCAUAUUCUUAAAAGUGUUAUAACAUUUUAUUUUUGUCCUCACUGGCCUCCAUGUUUUCUAGGAUGAUGCAAUGUCCAGCCAUCAACACAUUUGUGAAGGAGUUUUUUCUCGUUAAAAGAGCGCCCCCCAUGGCAGGAGAAUAAAGUCAAGUUUUUCCUGUUCAUCGUUCAAUGGCUCAAACGCAUCGCUCUCUCGGCAAAAGCGAAAGGAGGAGCAACUUGCCAUUUGGAUAUAUCUUAGCUGUGUUUGUGCCCUCACUCAUGGUCCAGACUUUUUUCAAAUAGGACAUGGAGUUUUUCUGCAGCGAGCGUUUUGGUAGAAACUGCGCCUCCCAUUCAUUAUAAUGGUAAAAGACCACAGACAAGUGCGCACACCAUCUUUGGACCUUGAGUGUGACGCGAUUGGGUGGGGGAGGCGGUCGCGCUGGGGGCGGCGCGACACGGCUGGGGCCCGCCAGUGCCCCACCGGGGCCCUAGUUCUUCUUUUUCCUCCCCUUUGAACUGGAAAAUGGCCCACUUCCCACUGGCGAAAACUCAUGAAAUUUGGCAGGAUGACCGGGCCUGGUGAAAAAUUUGAUAUUCCGAAGUCGCCCAAACAAGAAAAUGCAAAAUGGCUCCAUAGCGCCCCCUAAGGUGAAAAUUCAUACUAUUGACUGUCACGCCUUUACGCUUUGUCAAAAUGACACAAAAAUUGACACACAUAUGUAUCUCAAUAAGAUCUACAAAAAAGUCAGUGCGGGCGUAUCUGUCAAAUGUACGGUUAAAGGGUUAUUCCGCAUUUUUUGCCGAUCCACACACAUUGGAAUUUUGCUAACUCCUCCGAAGGCUUUCUUUCCACUUGCACCACAUUUGCUCAGGCCAAUCUACACCCCAUGGCCAUUAAAAGUUAUUCAAAUCAUGACGCUGCACCCCACGGUUUAGGUUCUAGGGGGCGCCAAAGAUAACCCUAAAAUCCACAUAUUUAAAAGUCUUAUAACUUUUUAUUUUUGCCCUCACUAGCCUCCAAGUUUUCUAGGAUGAUGCAAUGUCCAGCCAUCAACACAUUUGUGAAGGAAUUUUUACUCCCCAAAAGAGCGCCCCCCCCAUGGCCGGAGAAAAAAGUCCAUUUUUUCUUGUCCCCUAAGGGGAAAAUACACAUUGUUGAGUGUCACGCCUGUACGCUUUGUCAUAUUGACACAAAAUUUGACACACACAUGUAUCUCAAUAAGAUCUACGAAAAAGUCAAUGCGCGCGUAUCUGUCAAAUGUACGGUUAAAGGGUUAUUCCGCAUUUUUUGCCGAUCCGCACACAUUGGAAUUUCGCUAACUCCUCCUAAAGCUUUCUUUCCACUUGCACCACAUUUGCUCAGGCCAAUCUACACCCCAUGGCCAUUAAAAGUUAUUCAAAUCAUGACGCUGCACCCCACGGUUUAGGUUCUAGGGGGCGCCAAAGAUAACCCUAAAAUCCACAUAUUUCAAAGUCUUAUAACUUUUUAUUUUUGUCCUCACUGGCCUCCAAGUUUUCUAGGAUGAUGCAAUGUCCAGCCAUCAACACAUUUGUGAAGGAAUUUUUACUCCCCAAAAGAGCGCCCCCCCAUGGCAUGAGAAAAAAGUCCAUUUUUUCUUGUCCCCUAAGGCGAAAAUACACAUUGUUGAGUGUCAUGCCUGUACGCUUUGUCAUAUUGACACAAAAUUUGACAAUCAAGUGUAUCUCAAUAAGAUCUACGAAAAAGUCAAUGUGCGCGUAUCUGUAAAAUGUACGGUUAAAGGGCGAUUUCGCAUUUUUUGCCGAUUCGCACACAUUGGAAUGUGGCUAACUCCUCCUAAAGCUUUCGUCCCACUGACACCACAUUUGCUCAGGCAAAUCUACACCCCAUGGCCAUUCAAAGUUGUAAAAAUCAUGACGCUGUACCCCACGGUUUACGUUCUAGGGGGCGCCAAAGAGGACCCAAAUAUCCACAUUUUUAAAAGUCUUAUAACUUUAUUUUUGUCCUCACUGGCCUCCAAGUUUUCUAGGAUGAUGCAAUGUCCAGCCAUCAGCACAUGUGUGAAGGAAUUUUUACUCCCUAAAAGGGCGCCCCCCCAUGGCAGGAGAAAAAAAUCCAUCUUUUCUUUACCCCUAAGGUAAAAAUACACAUUGUUGAGUGUCACACCUAUACGCUUUGUCAUAUUGACACAAAAUUUGACAAUCAAGUGUAUCUCAAUAAGAUCUACGAAAAAGUCAAUGCGCGCAUAUCUGUCAAAUGUACGGUUAAAGGGCGAUUUCGCAUUUUUUGCAGAUCCGCACACAUUAGAAUGUGGCUAACUCCUCCUAAAGCUUUCGUCCCAUCGGCACCAAAUUUGCUCAGGCCAAUCUACACCCCAUGGCCAUUAAAAGUUAUUCAAAUCAUGAUGCUGCACCCCACGGUUUAGGUUCUAGGGGGCGCCAAAGAUAACCCAAAAAUCCACAGUCUUAAAAGUCUUAACUUUUUAUUUUUGUCCUCACUGGCCUCCAAGUUUUCUAGGAUAAUGCAAUGUUCAGCCAUCAACACAAUUGUGAAGGAAUUUUUACUCCCCAAAAGAGCGCCCCCCC
This 5816-nucleotide long non-coding RNA is filed under the name Xyrichtys novacula (pearly razorfish). The record is from RNAcentral. Lineage: Eukaryota; Metazoa; Chordata; Actinopteri; Labriformes; Labridae.